AAUCAAGUACAUAAAAAUAAACCAGAGGGAACAACGUGCAAAGCAGAAUAAGGAAUGACCAACUUUACACUUCUCAGCAGUGUUGGUGGUAUGAAUGGUCCUCCUGUGAAGGUCUCCAGGAGCCAGCAGCACAAUAAACCACAGAGAUUUUUGUAAAGCUCCACAAUGCAAUUUCUUAGUCUUAAAUUAUGCUGUAAAGGAAUUGAAUAAUUCCUUCAAUUAGAUUUGUAUUGCAGACAGUAGGCACUAAAUAAAUGAGGGAGGUGUAGCACUCUGUAACUACAGACAGCUAUUUUUAAAGAUAUCUUCAGUCAGUCUUAAAUUAAUCUUGACCUUUCUGUCAUCUUUUUUUGUCUGGGACAGACAUUCCCCAUGCUCCUUUACAUACAGUUUGAAUAUCCUUUCAGUUUGAAUGAGUAAGCCUGGCAGUCAGUUAGAACUUUGCCUUGAGUGACCUGACCACUUUCUUCAGAAAGAGCUUUUCCUGAGAGUUUGUCUUUAAUUGAUGAUACACUGAGUGUAAUUUUGUCUUGAAAAAUAAUUAUACAAUGGAUGGAAAUAGAUGUUACUGAUAUGAAGUAGUAAUGGACAAUGGUACUGUGUUCCUGUACAGGAAAAUCAGCAAUGAAAAUAUUUCUCCUUGUCCUGCUCUUAGUUAAAAUUGACUGAUGAGAGAUUUGCUGGUGGAAAUCAAGAAGAAACAGCAUACUUAUUUAUACAUAGAGGAGAGAUGCAUUUCCUCAGGUCACUUUCCAAGUCAACGUUUUUAGACAGAAGUAGUGUGGCAAGGUCCCAUGGCAAUUCUUUCUGCUCUACAUCUCACUGCCCAUCUGCUCUUGAUCCUUCACUUCUCCUACUCUUCAUUAUUCUUGGAAGUGUUAGACAAC
Coturnix japonica (Japanese quail) is the source of this 887-nucleotide long non-coding RNA. The record is from Ensembl. Lineage: Eukaryota; Metazoa; Chordata; Aves; Galliformes; Phasianidae.